CAAUAGCGUAUAUUAAAGCUGUUGCGGUUAAAAAGCUCGUAGUUGGAUAUCAGUGCGUGUCCGGUCCGGUAUGCCCGGCGGCGGCGCUCGCGCGUCACUGCCGGGCUCCCAAAUAUCGGCUGGCCGCAUUCAAUCGUGCCGGAUCCGUCGACGGGCCGUUCUACGGAGGGGCCUGUUGGCGACCGGCGACGUUACCUUGAACAAAUUAGAGUGCUCAAAGCAGGCUCUGAAUGCCUGUAUACAUAUUCAUGGAAUUGGAGAAUACGUCCCUGGCUCGAUUUGGUUGGUUUUGAGAGUCGAAGGGAAAUGAUUAAUAGGGACUGACGGAGGCAUUCGUAUUGCGACGCGAGGGGUGAAAUCCUGUGACCGUCGCACGACGAACUACUGCGAAAGCAUUUGCCGAGAAUGUUUUCAUUAG
RNAcentral lists this ribosomal RNA (418 nucleotides) under uncultured eukaryote. RNAcentral's name for it is "partial 18S ribosomal RNA". It matches the Rfam family "Eukaryotic small subunit ribosomal RNA", at positions 592 to 976 of the family's 1831-position model. The record is from RNAcentral.